CGCGAAGAACCUUACCUGGUCUUGACAUCCACGGAAGUUUUCAGAGAUGAGAAUGUGCCUUCGGGAACCGUGAGACAGGUGCUGCAUGGCUGUCGUCAGCUCGUGUUGUGAAAUGUUGGGUUAAGUCCCGCAACGAGCGCAACCCUUAUCCUUUGUUGCCAGCGGUCCGGCCGGGAACUCAAAGGAGACUGCCAGUGAUAAACUGGAGGAAGGUGGGGAUGACGUCAAGUCAUCAUGGCCCUUACGACCAGGGCUACACACGUGCUACAAUGGCGCAUACAAAGAGAAGCGACCUCGCGAGAGCAAGCGGACCUCAUAAAGUGCGUCGUAGUCCGGAUUGGAGUCUGCAACUCGACUCCAUGAAGUCGGGAUCGCUAGUAAUCGUGGAUCAGAAUGCCACGGUGAAUACGUUCCCGGGUCUUGUACACACC
Molecule: ribosomal RNA, 431 nt
Filed under: uncultured bacterium
Lineage: Bacteria
Description: bacterial SSU rRNA
Rfam family: Bacterial small subunit ribosomal RNA
Source: RNAcentral